UACGUAGGGGGCAAGCGUUGUCCGGAAUUAUUGGGCGUAAAGCGCGUGUAGGCGGCCAGAAAAGUCCGCUGUGAAAACUCGAGGCUCAACUUCGAGCUGUCGGUGGAAACUUUCUGGCUAGAGUCCGGAAGAGGAGAAUGGAAUUCCGGGUGUAGCGGUGGAAUGCGUAGAGAUCCGGAAGAACACCGGUGGCGAAGGCGGUUAGCUGGGCAGUUGCUGACACUGAGGCGCGACAGCGUGGGGAGCAAACAGG
This 253-nucleotide ribosomal RNA is filed under the name uncultured bacterium. RNAcentral describes it as "partial 16S ribosomal RNA". It matches the Rfam family "Bacterial small subunit ribosomal RNA", at positions 524 to 776 of the family's 1533-position model. The record is from RNAcentral.